Molecule: long non-coding RNA, 481 nt
Organism: Nothoprocta perdicaria
Lineage: Eukaryota; Metazoa; Chordata; Aves; Tinamiformes; Tinamidae
Exons: 2
Source: RefSeq, a predicted model, not a curated record
CAGGACAGAAGCCCAUGGAAAUGAGGCUCCUUACAAGAAAUCAGUUUUGUUUUCUGUUACUCCAAAGUAGCAAGCCGACUGUUCUGAUUGUCCCAGCUUACAGGCUCUGCUUCCAUCCAACAAGGCAUGAAGUCUGUCAGGCUUCCUGGAAUCUCAUUUAAUUCAGAAGACAUAGAUUUUCAAAAUUGUUCAAAGUAGAGCUGAAUUUUAGUGCUGCCUCUUUUUUUUCUGAACAGGCUUGUCCUGACUGUUCCCUAGCUCUGGAAAGAGUUCUCCAAGGGCUGCAAAUUCUCUUUACAAGUAAUAUCUUAAGGUAAUAGAUAAGCCAGUGCAUAAGGCAAUUCCUGCUUUCCUUUGCUGGAGUGGAAGGACUCUGUCACUAAGCAGUUCUCUGCAGUACAGAUUGACACAAACCCAAACAUUUGGAUCUGUGGAUAAAGGUUGCAUGGGAUCUUGCUCCCGAGAGUAAGCACGGUUUGCC